GCGCUCACUUCAGCAGCACAUAUACUAAAACUGGAAUAAUACAGAGAAGAUUAGCAUGUCUCCGUGCAAGGAAAAAUCAUUUUUUAAACCCAAAGCACUUAAUAUAUUU
Sorex araneus (European shrew) is the source of this 109-nucleotide small nuclear RNA. NCBI's taxonomy places the organism in Eukaryota, Metazoa, Chordata, Mammalia, Eulipotyphla, Soricidae. The record is from RefSeq and is a predicted model, not a curated record.